RNAcentral lists this transfer RNA (58 nucleotides) under Neotoma lepida (desert woodrat). It matches the Rfam family "tRNA", at positions 8 to 63 of the family's 71-position model. Rfam says of the family: Transfer RNA (tRNA) molecules are approximately 80 nucleotides in length. Their secondary structure includes four short double-helical elements and three loops (D, anti-codon, and T loops). Further hydrogen bonds mediate the characteristic L-shaped molecular structure. tRNAs have two regions of fundamental functional importance: the anti-codon, which is responsible for specific mRNA codon recognition, and the 3' end, to which the tRNAs corresponding amino acid is attached (by aminoacyl-tRNA synthetases). tRNAs cope with the degeneracy of the genetic code in two manners: having more than one tRNA (with a specific anti-codon) for a particular amino acid; and 'wobble' base-pairing, i.e. permitting non-standard base-pairing at the 3rd anti-codon position. The record is from Rfam by way of RNAcentral. Lineage: Eukaryota; Metazoa; Chordata; Mammalia; Rodentia; Cricetidae.
UAGUUCAGUUGGUAGAGCAUGAGAUUCUUAAUCUCAAGGUCAUGGGUUUGUGCCCCAC